Molecule: non-coding RNA, 58 nt
Organism: Salmo salar (Atlantic salmon)
Lineage: Eukaryota; Metazoa; Chordata; Actinopteri; Salmoniformes; Salmonidae
Source: Rfam
UGGCUCUGUUGAUAGAGCAUGGUGUUUGCAACGCCAGGGUUGUGGGUUCGAUUCCCAC